AUGAUGUCACAUCACAGAUCACUGUGGGUCCUAGGCAACCACCCAUCAGAAUGCACAGGGGCCGUGACACAGCAGCUCUAUGCAGCUACACCAGGGGAAGCUCUCUCAAGUUCUGUAUCAGGGGGAUCCAAGAUCCUGAUGGAGGAGCUACAAGUCAGAAAAGGCAGUAGUGACAAGAGUCUGAGACAGGCUGGAGCAGUCCCUGCCUGGCAGGAAGAGCCUUCAUAUCUGCCAAGAGAGUACGGCUAUGCUAGCGGCUGGCGCUGUGGUAUAAAGGAUAAAGAUAAAGAUGCCACCUAGGAACCCAGCAGCUCCCUGUGAAUGUGUCUAAGAAAGCAGCUGAAGAUGGCCCAAGUGCUUUGGGCCCAGCCACCCAUGGGGGAGACCCAGAAGAACUCUUGGCUCCUGGCUUCAGACCAGCCCAGCUCCAGCUGUUCCUGCCAUUCAGGGAGUGAACCAACAGCUCUCUCCCUUUCUCUUUCUCUGUAAUUUUGUCUUCAAAAUUAAAAAAAAAAAAAGUCCCUUUAAACGUAAUUCAAUUUUUUCAAUAUUAAAAUACAAAAAAUUAAACUACCAAAUGUAAAAAUAAGCCUUCAGAAACUGUAAAUAUUGAUAAUUCUUUAACAUUUGCUGCCUUUUAAAAUAUUUUAAGCUGACAUAUAUGAAUUGUAC
Molecule: long non-coding RNA, 672 nt
Filed under: Oryctolagus cuniculus (rabbit)
Lineage: Eukaryota; Metazoa; Chordata; Mammalia; Lagomorpha; Leporidae
Description: lncRNA (ENSOCUG00000033554.1)
Source: RNAcentral